UGGGAGCGCGGGCGGGGCGGGCGCGCGGCGGCCGGUCACGUUUCUGCCCGUAUGAAGCCCGAGCCGGGACGCACCGGGCCGGCGGGACGCGCCGCGCGCGGAAUAUAUUGAUGACACUUUAAUAUUUGGAAAGACCAUGAUUAGUACAUUCAUUGAGGUGUGACUUCAGUUUUCUGCAGAAAGUGAACCUGGUUCAACUUGGUUUGCCUCCCGUAUCACAGGUGUGUUCCUACAGCAGGGUUUUCACUUCUUCAUAAUAUUUGAAGUCU
Molecule: long non-coding RNA, 269 nt
Filed under: Lonchura striata (white-rumped munia)
Lineage: Eukaryota; Metazoa; Chordata; Aves; Passeriformes; Estrildidae
Description: domestica (Bengalese finch) lncRNA (ENSLSDG00000016241.1)
Source: RNAcentral